RNAcentral lists this ribosomal RNA (499 nucleotides) under uncultured Fusibacter sp. Its description in RNAcentral is "bacterial SSU rRNA". It matches the Rfam family "Bacterial small subunit ribosomal RNA", at positions 886 to 1382 of the family's 1533-position model. Lineage: Bacteria; Bacillati; Bacillota; Clostridia; Eubacteriales; Fusibacteraceae. The record is from RNAcentral.
AGCCCGCUCAGAAACUUAAAGGAAUUGACGGGGACCCGCACAAGCAGCGGAGCAUGUGGUUUAAUUCGAAGCAACGCGAAGAACCUUACCAGAUCUUGACAUCCAAUUGACCAUCUUUUAAUCGAGAUUUUGCCUUCGGGUACAAUUGAGACAGGUGGUGCAUGGUUGUCGUCAGCUCGUGUCGUGAGAUGUUGGGUUAAGUCCCGCAACGAGCGCAACCCUUGUGUUUAGUUGCAAACAGGUCAAGCUGUGCACUCUAGACAGACUGCCGUGGACAACACGGAGGAAGGUGGGGAUGACGUCAAAUCAUCAUGCCCCUUAUGAUCUGGGCUACACACGUGCUACAAUGGCCGGUACAACGGGCAGCGAAGGAGCGAUCCGGAGCGAAUCCUAAAAAGCCGGUCCCAGUUCGGAUUGCAGGCUGAAACUCGCCUACAUGAAGUUGGAGUUGCUAGUAAUCGCGAAUCAGAAUGUCGCGGUGAAUGCGUUCCCGGGUCUU